This is a non-coding RNA of Gadus chalcogrammus (walleye pollock), 657 nucleotides long. The record is from the annotation of a RefSeq genome assembly. NCBI's taxonomy places the organism in Eukaryota, Metazoa, Chordata, Actinopteri, Gadiformes, Gadidae.
UUUCAGCGAAUCAAAUAUUGAAUAAUUCAGAGAUUUUUGUCUAAAAGCGAGUGUUUGUGUGACAGUAAGAUGAGUCUUUAAUAUGCGGGAGGUUUUUGUACAGCCUCUUAACGAGUUUGUAUCACUGUGGUACACUUUUGGUGGAGGCACCAAACUCAUCGUUGACUUGGGAGUGGUGCAGCCCACGCUGAGCGUCCUCCCUCCCUCCAGAGUGGAGCUGGAGCAGGGCAGUGCUACACUAGUUUGUGUGGCCAGUGGGGGCUUCCCCUCAGACUGGAAGCUUGGCUGGAAGGUGGGGGGCAGCAGCAGGUCUGGGGGGGUGUCAGAUAGCCUGGGGGUCCUGGGGAAAGAUGGCCACUACAGCUGGAGCAGCACCUUGACCCUCCCUGCAGACCAGUGGAGGAAGGCGGGCUCAGUGAGCUGUGAGGCCAGUAAGAAUGGCCAGACGCAGCCUGUCACUCAAACCCUGAAUCCUGGAGAGUGUUCAGAGUAGAGAGGCUCCAGCAUGGAGGUACUGGAGAAUACAGAUCUCCUCUGACACGUCUGCUUUAUGUCUCUCUGUCUCAGGUGGCACUGCAUCUUGUGAUGAUUUACAUUAAUAUAACACGUCCUUGAUUCAUUAACAUGAUGCUCUCUGGAUUUUACGCCAUGCUUGUG